AUUGAACGCUGGCGGCGUGCCUAACACAUGCAAGUCGAGCGGUAACAGGUGUAGCAAUACAUGCUGACGAGCGGCGAACGGGUGAGUAAUGCUUCGGAAUCUACCCAAUGGUGGGGAAUAACCAGCCGAAAGGUUGGCUAAUACCGCAUACGUCCUACGGGAGAAAGCAGGGGAUCGUAAGACCUUGCGCCAAUGGAUGAGCCGAAGUCGGAUUAGCUAGUUGGAGGGUAACGGCCUACCAAGGCGACGAUCCGUAGCUGGUCUGAGAGGACGACCAGCCACACUGGGACUGAGACACGGCCCAGACUCCUACGGGAGGCAGCAGUGGGGAAUAUUGGACAAUGGGGGAAACCCUGAUCCAGCGACGCCGCGUGUGUGAAGAAGGCCUGCGGGGUUGUAAAGCACUUUUAGUUGGGGAUGAAAAGUUCAGGGCUAAUACCCCUGGAUCUUGACCUAACCCACAGAAAAAGCACCGGCUAACUCUGUGCCAGCAGCCGCCGUAAC
Molecule: ribosomal RNA, 504 nt
Filed under: uncultured bacterium
Lineage: Bacteria
Description: bacterial SSU rRNA
Rfam family: Bacterial small subunit ribosomal RNA
Source: RNAcentral